This 391-nucleotide unclassified non-coding RNA is filed under the name soil metagenome. RNAcentral describes it as "partial contains 5.8S ribosomal RNA, internal transcribed spacer 2, and large subunit ribosomal RNA". The stretch from base 1 to 122 matches the Rfam family "5.8S ribosomal RNA", at positions 35 to 154 of the family's 154-position model. The record is from RNAcentral.
GAUGAAGAACGCAGCGAAAUGCGAUACUUGGUGUGAAUUGCAGAAUCCCGUGAACCAACGAGUCUUUGAACGCAAGUUGCGCCCGAAGCCAUUAGGCCGAGGGCACGCCUGCCUGGGCGUCACACGUCGUUGCCCCCCCAUCUACUCCUUCGGGAUUGCGGGGGGCGGAUGAUGGCCUCCCGUGCGCCUCGCCGCGCGGUUGGCAUAAAUGCCAAGUCCUCGGCGACGCACGCCACGACAAUCGGUGGUUGCGAAACCUCGGUUGCCCGUCGUGUGCGGUCGUCGCGCAUCGAGGGCUCGAAAAAAUUGCCGGGUUCCGGCUCGGCUUUCAACGCGACCCCAGGUCAGGCGGGGUUACCCGCUGAAUUUAAGCAUAUCAAUAAGCGGAGGA